RNAcentral lists this ribosomal RNA (322 nucleotides) under Vibrio vulnificus. Its description in RNAcentral is "partial 23S ribosomal RNA". It matches the Rfam family "Bacterial large subunit ribosomal RNA", at positions 1 to 360 of the family's 2925-position model. Lineage: Bacteria; Pseudomonadati; Pseudomonadota; Gammaproteobacteria; Vibrionales; Vibrionaceae. The record is from RNAcentral.
GUUGUAUGGUUAAGUGACUAAGCGUACACGGUGGAUGCCUUGGCAGUCAGAGGCGAUGAAGGACGUAGUAACUUGCGAUAAGCGUAGAUGAGGCAGUAACAGCCACUUGAGUCUACGAUUUCCGAAUGGGGAAACCCACUGGCAUAAGCCAGUAUCAUUGAGUGAAUACAUAGCUCAAUGAAGCGAACCGGGAGAACUGAAACAUCUAAGUACCCCGAGGAAAAGAAAUCAACCGAGAUUCCGAAAGUAGCGGCGAGCGAAAUUGGAUUAGCCCUUAAGCUUUACAUGUGUUAGACGAACGGUCUGGAAAGUCCGACGAUAC